Molecule: long non-coding RNA, 426 nt
Organism: Micropterus dolomieu (smallmouth bass)
Lineage: Eukaryota; Metazoa; Chordata; Actinopteri; Centrarchiformes; Centrarchidae
Exons: 2
Source: RefSeq, a predicted model, not a curated record
UUUUAGAAUGGAAUUUAUGAAAUAAAUCAACUUUUUGAUGAUAUUCUACUUAUAUGACCAGCACCUGUAUGUUAAUGUUAACAAAUUAAUUGACUAAGGUUUACAUAUCUGUGAUGCAGCUGUCCUAUGAUCUGACAUGGCAAAAGCUGAAAGAGAAGUUCAGUCACUGUGGACAGGUAAUGUUCGCAGAGAUCAAGAUGGAGAACGGAAAGUCAAAGGGCUGUGGAACAGUGAGAUUCGACUCUCCAGAGAGUGCUGAAAAGGCCUGUAGGAUGAUGAAUGGAACAAAGAUCAACGGCCGAGAGGUGGACGUCCGUAUUGAUCGCAACGCCUAGAGCUUUUGUAGAAGUUAUGCUAACACACUUCCACAUUCAGCCCUCUUGCCAAUGACCUUUUGUUUUGUUUUAAAAACACAAUUACUUCAUA